GACGAACGCUGGCGGCGUGCUUAACACAUGCAAGUCGAACGGAAAGGCCCUGCUUUUGUGGGGUGCUCGAGUGGCGAACGGGUGAGUAACACGUGAGUAACCUGCCCUUGACUUUGGGAUAACUUCAGGAAACUGGGGCUAAUAUCGGAUAGGAGCUCCUGCUGCAUGGUGGGGGUUGGAAAGUUUCGGCGGUUGGGGAUGGACUCGCGGCUUAUCAGCUUGUUGGUGGGGUAGUUGCUUACCAAGGCUUUGACGGGUAGCCGGCCUGGGAGGGUGACCGGCCACAUUGGGACUGAGGUGCGACCCAGACUCAUACGGGAGGCAGGAGUGGGAGUAUUGCACAAUGGGCGGGAGCCUGAUGCAGCGGCGCCGCGUGCGGGAUGACGGCCUUCGGGUUGUAAACCGCUUUCGCCUGUGACGAAGCGUGAGUGACGGUAAUGGGUAAAGAAGCACCGGCUAACUACGUG
RNAcentral lists this ribosomal RNA (467 nucleotides) under uncultured bacterium. Its description in RNAcentral is "partial 16S ribosomal RNA". It matches the Rfam family "Bacterial small subunit ribosomal RNA", at positions 28 to 507 of the family's 1533-position model. The record is from RNAcentral.